CCUACGGGUGGCAGCAGUGAGGAAUAUUGGUCAAUGGUCGGAAGACUGAACCAGCCAAGCCGCGUGAAGGACGAAGGUACCAAGUAUUGUAAACUUCUUUUGUCAGGGGACAAAAGCAGGCACGAGAGCCUGACCGAGUGUACUUGAAGAAAAAGCAUCGGCUAACUCCGUGCCAGCAGCCGCGGUAAUACGGAGGAUGCGAGCGUUAUCGGGAUUUAUUGGGGUUAAGGGAUGCGUAGGCGGGGUGUUAAGUUAGCGGUAAAAGCCGGGGGCUCAACCCCGGCGCGCCGUUGAAACGGGCAGUCUAGAGUUGGAGAGAGGUAUGCGGAAGGCGCGGUGUAGCGGUGAAAUGCAGAGAUAUCGCGCAGAACUCCGAUUGCGAAGGCAGCAUGCCGGCGGCACACUGACGCUGAGGCACGAAAGCGUGGGUAUCGAACAGGAUUAGAUACCCUGGUAGUC
This 459-nucleotide ribosomal RNA is filed under the name uncultured bacterium. Its description in RNAcentral is "partial 16S ribosomal RNA". It matches the Rfam family "Bacterial small subunit ribosomal RNA", at positions 338 to 795 of the family's 1533-position model. The record is from RNAcentral.